GCUCCUCCAGGAAACCCCUGUUUCCUGUUGCGGGGCAGCAGCAACACAUAACUCAACAAUUCUUCCCUCACCCUGUCAGGCUCACCUCACCUUGCAGAGCCUUGAAAUUGAAGAAGACACUUUCCAUCUAGAGGAAGACCUCAAACAUGCUUCUCUCCAGCCUUCUGAAGGUGGUCAUGGCUUCAUUGUGGCUAGGAUCCAGUAUUGCCCAGAAGGUAACUCAAGACCAACCAGUAAUAUUAGUGCAGGAGAAGGAGGUUGUGACCCUGGAUUGCAUAUAUGACACAAAUGAGUUCAGUUAUAGUCUAUACUGGUACAAGCAGCCCAGCAGUGGGGCGAUGAUUCUCCUUAUUCGUCAGGACUCUUAUAACCAGCAAAAUACAACAGAAGGUCGCUACUCACUGAAUUUCCAGAAGGCAAACAAAUCCAUCAAACUUGCCAUCUCAGCUUCACAGCUGGAGGACUCUGCAGUGUAUUUCUGUGCACUGAGUGAGCCCACAGUGAGAGGCGUGUUGGAGGCAGGUAUACCAAAACCCGGGGCUCUGCUUGAUACAUCUGCCUGCUAUAGGGACCAGGGCAGGGAAUUGCCUUCACAGACAGGAACUGGUUAGGGCUGUGGCAGCACAGGUGUAGGGUUAGAGGGAAAACACUCCUUCUAAGAACAUAUUUCUCUGGGUUCGUAGACCAGGUCUAGAGCUAUCAUUCAUCAAAAACAACCUUAUCCCUGAAAAUUUGGGUUCAAAUUUUUUAUUGAAGACAAAAAAUAGCCACAUAAAAUCCUUGCCAUUUAGUGAUUAGAAUGAGCUAGAAGAAUUGACUAAG
Orcinus orca (killer whale) is the source of this 822-nucleotide non-coding RNA. Lineage: Eukaryota; Metazoa; Chordata; Mammalia; Artiodactyla; Delphinidae. The record is from the annotation of a RefSeq genome assembly.